Molecule: long non-coding RNA, 248 nt
Filed under: Apteryx rowi (Okarito brown kiwi)
Lineage: Eukaryota; Metazoa; Chordata; Aves; Apterygiformes; Apterygidae
Description: lncRNA (ENSARWG00000004224.1)
Source: RNAcentral
GUUUUAUUCAUUAAUGUACUAAUCUAAGCAUACGAAAUUCAUACAUGUUUCUUCCCUUUGUUUUACAGAAGGAUUGCAUACUUCCGUUUGCUAAGAAAUAUGGUGAGCCCCUGGAUGAGGACUGGGGUCUUACACACCAGCUACUCAAGCAACUGAAGUGGAGAGAACAAAACAGCACAGCACAGCUCCUAAAAGGAGGGAAAAAAACAGAAGGAAAGAUGGAUAUGUUCAUAUCAUCCUUAAAAUAG